AAAAGGACUGCAGGCAUCAGAGGUGGGCAAGACCCUGGCUCCCUGCAGUCCCUCCCCAGCACCCCAUGAAGGUACUUAGAGACUGUGACUGAGUCACCCCGUAACCUUCUCUUCAUUAAGCAAAAGAGAUUGAGCUCCUGAGUCUCUCACUAGGCGGCAGGGUUUCUAACCUUUGAAUCAGUCUUGAGGCUUUUUUCUGACUUCUCUUUCAUUGAUAACAUCCUUCUGGAAGGGCAUUCACCAGCAUAAGCCCUUGGAGAAUGGCAUUAAAUUGGAGUAACACCACAGUGAAUCAGGCAGGUGCUGUGAGGCUCUGGAUGGGACUGGUCCCCAGACCGGGUGUCUGUCUGUCAACAUCCACCGGCCAAUGUCAGAAGACGAGAUACUGAGCUAGAUGGACCUUUGGUCUGACCCAAUAUGGUCGUUCUUAUGUGCCACCAUCUUCCACCCUGGCACUGUUCAAUUUAGAGACAGGGAGAGGAGAAUUUUCAGAAGAAAAUCUGAUUAAGCAAUUCUCUGCUCAGUAUGACUAAGGAUAUCUCCAUUUACUGUACACAUUCACACAACAUUGCGCAUGCUUGCAUUUUAUCAGGAGAUUGGUGACAUUUGAUGCAAAGCCUCAACUGCUGGAGUAACGUGAUUAUAUGAGACUCUCAGCUUCCAUGACAACAAUAAACUGGUGUUACACGUGGGGACUCAUCCAGGAUUUGACGCCAGCGACUGUGGUUGGUGACCCUGGAGAUGGAAGAGACCCUAAAAUGGCUGGUGAAGCAGCAGGAGGAGAUGAAGCAGACCGUGGUCAAUCUCCAGUUGGCCCAACAGACCGAGAAGCAGGCCUUCCUGACCUGGCAGGUGGAACAACAAUGGAGCCUGCAGGAUUUUAUCAGGGAGCAGACCUGAGCUCCUCCCUGCUCAGAGCCGCAUGCAGAAAUCCUACUGCUGCAUUCUGUGGGCGGAAGGACAGCCACCCAGGGAAGCUGCGCUCUCUCCCCUCCACUGCCGCGCGAGAAGCGUCUUUCCUGCCUGUGCCCCCUGCCACCACCCUUUUAACAGAUGGAUCACCAAAGAGGCCAGGGGACUCAUUCCAGACAGGCGAGUACCCAAAGCAGUGUCUGACAGUCACCCUGCCUAGUGAUUCCAGAGAAGACAAGCUGAGGACUAAUUAGAAGGACAAACUGCGCCUCUCCGUGGCUGCCUUCGUGAUGGGCCUGCUCACAGCUUUGUGUGAGUACUGAUUUCCCCGCACUGAGAUUUGAUGAAAAUAAACUCUCUAGCAAAUAAAGUUUACUGGCAGACUACAGCAAUAUAUACAAGAAAUCUCGGUGGGAAAUACAUUCCUGUCAUGAAACCCCUAUCCAAAGUUAUGUAUUGUUUUUUCUUUAAAGAGGUGGCGUAGAGUGGCUAUGUUUAAACUUGAAUUUAAACCAGCUGUGUUUUGUUUUUUAAGUAUGUUCAUGCAUCCUGUGCUGUGUCAACACUUCAUGUGACUAGGCAGCAUAGCAAGAUGUACUGGAAUCAUGCCAUUUGUGUGCUUCAGAGAUUGUGAUACUUUUCUAACAGUGCAGCUGAUGGAGAGAGUGCAACAUUAACCUUUAGAAACUCAGUAUGCUGCAUUACUUGUAUUGAACUGCAGAGGAGAUGGAAUUUCGUAAGUGUUGCAGUCUUGUAUAGGGGAAUGUGAAUAGAAGUUACAGGAUAGAGAAUGUAUGGGGCAAAUUCUGCACUGAUUUACACCCUCUGCAGCAGUGGGCCUGGUCAAAGUACACACCUGGCCACUGGUACCUGCUUCCUCUCAAGAUCCAUCUGUAUGAUCAUGCCAUUUAAUAAUGGGCUGAGGCCUUAAAAACUGAAGUCCUGCCUACGCUGCAUGGACAUUUGAAAUCCCAUGGCACUUUCUGUAAGAGGAUGCAUUUCUGAAGAAGAGAGAGGGAAGGCUGAGGGAGAGGUCAGCAGUACAGAUAGUGCAUGCAGAAGCAUUAAAUAUUGGAUGAUCAAAUCUUUUUCAUGUGUAACUUAUUUACAUAAGUCUCCUUAUGUAAUUUAUAAGUACUUCCCACAUUUAACUGAAAGUGGGUUUACUUUUUAAGCACUCAUGUAAUUAGGCUCUUUUGCCACUUCAUAAUAACGUAUUCUGGUGUUAUUUUCCUACUAAUUCAGGCAACACACACACUGCUCCAAUCUCAUACAGGCAGACA
Molecule: long non-coding RNA, 2195 nt
Organism: Mauremys reevesii (Reeves's turtle)
Lineage: Eukaryota; Metazoa; Chordata; Testudines; Geoemydidae
Exons: 3
Source: RefSeq, a predicted model, not a curated record